AGUGAACGCUGGCGGUAGGCCUAACACAUGCAAGUCGAACGGCAGCACAGUAAGAGCUUGCUCUUACGGGUGGCGAGUGGCGGACGGGUGAGGAAUACAUCGGAAUCUACUUUUUCGUGGGGGAUAACGUAGGGAAACUUACGCUAAUACCGCAUACGACCUACGGGUGAAAGCAGGGGAUCUUCGGACCUUGCGCGAUUGAAUGAGCCGAUGUCGGAUUAGCUAGUUGGCGGGGUAAAGGCCCACCAAGGCGACGAUCCGUAGCUGGUCUGAGAGGAUGAUCAGCCACACUGGAACUGAGACACGGUCCAGACUCCUACGGGAGGCAGCAGUGGGGAAUAUUGGACAAUGGGCGAAAGCCUGAUCCAGCCAUACCGCGUGGGUGAAGAAGGCCUUCGGGUUGUAAAGCCCUUUUGUUGGGAAAGAAAAGAAGCAGGUUAAUACCCCGCUGUUCUGACGGUACCAAAAGAAUAAGCACCGGCUAACUUCAUG
Molecule: ribosomal RNA, 492 nt
Filed under: uncultured bacterium
Lineage: Bacteria
Description: partial 16S ribosomal RNA
Rfam family: Bacterial small subunit ribosomal RNA
Source: RNAcentral